GCGUGCUUACACAUGCAAGUCGAACGAUGAUCCGGUUUCGGCCGGUGAUUAGUGGCGAACGGGUGAGUAACACGUGGGUGACCUGCCCUGCACUCUGGGAUAAGCCUGGGAAACUGGGUCUAAUACUGGAUAUGACUGACGGUUGCAUGAUCGUUGGUGGAAAGCUUUUGCGGUGUGGGAUGGGCCCGCGGCCUAUCAGCUUGUUGGUGGGGUGAUGGCCUACCAAGGCGACGACGGGUAGCCGGCCUGAGAGGGUGACCGGCCACACUGGGACUGAGACACGGCCCAGACUCCUACGGGAGGCAGCAGUGGGGAAUAUUGCACAAUGGGCGAAAGCCUGAUGCAGCGACGCCGCGUGAGGGAUGACGGCCUUCGGGUUGUAAACCUCUUUCAGCAGGGAAGAAGCGAGAGUGACGGUACCUGCAGAAGAAGCACCGGCUAACUACGUGCCAGCAGCCGCGGUAAUACGUAGGGUGCAAGCGUUGUCCGGAAUUAUUGGGCGUAAAGAGCUCGUAGGCGGCCUGUCGCGUCGAUUGUGAAAGCCCAGGGCUUAACCCUGGGUCUGCAGUCGAUACGGGCAGGCUAGAGUUCGGCAGGGGAGACUGGAAUUCCUGGUGUAGCGGUGGAAUGCGCAGAUAUCAGGAGGAACACCGGUGGCGAAGGCGGGUCUCUGGGCCGAUACUGACGCUGAGGAGCGAAAGCGUGGGGAGCGAACAGGAUUAGAUACCCUGGUAGUCCACGCUGUAAACGGUGGGCACUAGGUGUGGGCGACAUUCCACGUCGUCCGUGC
Molecule: ribosomal RNA, 790 nt
Filed under: Streptomyces sp. I07A-00513
Lineage: Bacteria; Bacillati; Actinomycetota; Actinomycetes; Kitasatosporales; Streptomycetaceae
Description: bacterial SSU rRNA
Rfam family: Bacterial small subunit ribosomal RNA
Source: RNAcentral